RNAcentral lists this ribosomal RNA (252 nucleotides) under uncultured bacterium. Its description in RNAcentral is "partial 16S ribosomal RNA". It matches the Rfam family "Bacterial small subunit ribosomal RNA", at positions 524 to 776 of the family's 1533-position model. The record is from RNAcentral.
UACGGAGGGUGCAAGCGUUAUCCGGAUUUACUGGGUUUAAAGGGUGCGUAGGUGGGUUGGGAAGUCAGUGGUGAAAUACUUUCGCUUAACGAAGGAACUGCCAUUGAUACUAUCAAUCUUGAAUGUAGUGGAGGUAGGCGGAAUGCGUCAUGUAGCGGUGAAAUGCUUAGAUAUGACGCAGAACACCAAUUGCGAAGCAGCUUGCUACACUACUAUUGACACUGAGGCACGAAAGCGUGGGGAUCAAACAGG